AUCCGCCCGCAGCAGGACUUAGGAAAGGACACCUCGAGGCGCACGGCGACUCCAUACAUGGCUAGCGUCUGAUCUCCCUGGCCUGCCCUCCAGGGAGAGGAUACAGAUGUUCCCAUGACUUUCCCUAGGAAGCCAGAAACACGAGAGCACCUGAAGACAGUGUAGGUAGCACGGUAAACAUCCCCACUGCUGUCAACA
Scleropages formosus (Asian bonytongue) is the source of this 198-nucleotide long non-coding RNA. RefSeq lists it as uncharacterized. The record is from RefSeq and is a predicted model, not a curated record. The transcript has 3 exons. NCBI's taxonomy places the organism in Eukaryota, Metazoa, Chordata, Actinopteri, Osteoglossiformes, Osteoglossidae.